Molecule: transfer RNA, 68 nt
Filed under: Mierspenaeopsis hardwickii
Lineage: Eukaryota; Metazoa; Arthropoda; Malacostraca; Decapoda; Penaeidae
Description: tRNA-Asp
Rfam family: tRNA
About the family: Transfer RNA (tRNA) molecules are approximately 80 nucleotides in length. Their secondary structure includes four short double-helical elements and three loops (D, anti-codon, and T loops).
Source: RNAcentral
GAAAAAUUAGUUAAAUAAUAUAACAUGAGCCUGUCACGCCCAAAUUAUCAAAUAAUUGAUAUUUUUCA